RNAcentral lists this long non-coding RNA (411 nucleotides) under Calidris pugnax (ruff). Its description in RNAcentral is "lncRNA (ENSCPUG00000012414.1)". The record is from RNAcentral. Lineage: Eukaryota; Metazoa; Chordata; Aves; Charadriiformes; Scolopacidae.
ACAGGGAAUAUGUUUGUCAAGAAUAAGAAGCCACCUACUGAACGUUGAAGAUCCUCAGUAUUGACCGCUCUGUCCUUUUCCUAAACAGGGGGCACCAGGAGAACCAGGUCCUCAAGGCAUCGUUGGUGGCCGGGGUAACACGGGUUUGCCAGGUCUGCGUGGCCCCAGCGGCCCCCCUGGUAUGGCGGGUGCCAAGGGUGAAGAUGGUAAACCAGGCACCAAUGGCAUCCCAGGAGAACGUGGUGCUCCUGGUCCGCAAGGUCCUAUUGGCCAAAGAGGCUUACCUGGAGAGCCUGGCAGAGAUGUGAGUGGAUGUGUUAGACCUUCCUGCUAGCUUGUGAGUUACAAACAGGAGACACGGGGACUAAAGAAGCUUUAAGGGUCACAAAGCCUCCCUCGAGUGCCCGAUGC